UAAUACGUAGGGUGCAAGCGUUAAUCGGAAUUACUGGGCGUAAAGCGUGCGCAGGCGGUUAUGUAAGACAGAUGUGAAAUCCCCGGGCUUAACCUGGGAACUGCAUUUGUGACUGCAUAGCUUGAGUGCGGUAGAGGGGGGUAGAAUUCCACGUGUAGCAGUGAAAUGCGUAGAGAUGUGGAGGAAUACCGAUGGCGAAGGCAGCCCCCUGGGCCGUAACUGACGCUCAUGCACGAAAGCGUGGGGAGCAAACAGG
This 256-nucleotide ribosomal RNA is filed under the name uncultured bacterium. RNAcentral describes it as "partial 16S ribosomal RNA". It matches the Rfam family "Bacterial small subunit ribosomal RNA", at positions 521 to 776 of the family's 1533-position model. The record is from RNAcentral.